AUGAAACGAAGGACGCUCUGUUUAGAGGUCCGACCAAUCAUUUACCUUUACACUGUGCACAUACUACUUUUUUACACCAAUUUUUAACGCAUUAGUUUUAAGAAUGUAAGAUCAGUCUCGAAAGAGCAUAAAAUAAAC
Molecule: unclassified non-coding RNA, 138 nt
Filed under: Symmetrospora marina
Lineage: Eukaryota; Fungi; Basidiomycota; Cystobasidiomycetes; Symmetrosporaceae
Description: ITS 1
Source: RNAcentral